ACGAUUGCGGUGCCAAAACGGAGCGGACUGAAAAUCCGCGUGUCGAUGGUUCGAUUCCGUCCAUAGCCA
This 69-nucleotide transfer RNA is filed under the name Candidatus Competibacteraceae bacterium. RNAcentral's name for it is "tRNA-Phe". The record is from RNAcentral. Lineage: Bacteria; Pseudomonadati; Pseudomonadota; Gammaproteobacteria; Candidatus Competibacteraceae.